UACGGAGGGGACUAGCGUUGUUCGGAAUCACUGGGCGUAAAGCGCAUGCAGGCGGAUCAUUAAGUCGGGGGUGAAAUCCCGAGGCUCAACCUCGGAACUGCCCUCGAUACUGAUGAUCUUGAGUCCGGGAGAGGUGAGUGGAACUCCGAGUGUAGAGGUGAAAUUCGUAGAUAUUCGGAAGAACACCAGUGGCGAAGGCGGCUCACUGGCCCGGUACUGACGCUGAGAUGCGAAAGCGUGGGGAGCAAACAGG
This 253-nucleotide unclassified non-coding RNA is filed under the name uncultured Alphaproteobacteria bacterium. RNAcentral describes it as "contains 16S-23S intergenic spacer region". It matches the Rfam family "Bacterial small subunit ribosomal RNA", at positions 524 to 776 of the family's 1533-position model. The record is from RNAcentral. Lineage: Bacteria; Pseudomonadati; Pseudomonadota; Alphaproteobacteria.